GAAAAUCCGUUGACUUUAAAAAUCG
This 25-nucleotide transfer RNA is filed under the name Grammosciadium pterocarpum. RNAcentral's name for it is "partial tRNA-Leu". The record is from RNAcentral. Lineage: Eukaryota; Viridiplantae; Streptophyta; Magnoliopsida; Apiales; Apiaceae.